UACAGAGGUGGCAAGCGUUGUUCGGAAUUACUGGGCGUAAAGCGUGCGCAGGCGGUUCGUUGUGUCCGAUGUGAAAGCCCCGGGCUUAACCUGGGAAUGGCAUUGGAAACUGGCGGGCUUGAGUGCGGCAGAGGGGGGUGGAAUUCCGCGUGUAGCAGUGAAAUGCGUAGAGAUGUGGAGGAACACCGAUGGCGAAGGCAGCCCCCUGGGAUGACACUGACGCUCAUACACGAAAGCGUGGGGAGCAAACAGG
This 253-nucleotide ribosomal RNA is filed under the name uncultured bacterium. Its description in RNAcentral is "partial 16S ribosomal RNA". It matches the Rfam family "Bacterial small subunit ribosomal RNA", at positions 524 to 776 of the family's 1533-position model. The record is from RNAcentral.